This 210-nucleotide long non-coding RNA is filed under the name Lathyrus oleraceus (garden pea). Its description in RNAcentral is "Pisum sativum (pea) long non-coding RNA (PSAT_LNC018069)". The record is from RNAcentral. Lineage: Eukaryota; Viridiplantae; Streptophyta; Magnoliopsida; Fabales; Fabaceae.
UUGUUUUUGUUUUUUGGUGUUUCCUAUUUUGUUUCUUGUUCUUUAGAUGAUGAAUGAAAUGCUGCAUUUAUAGAGAGUUGGCUGAACAAAGUUGGAUAAAGAUUUGGCAUUGUUCAAUGGAUAUUGUUCAAAAAUCAAAAAGAUGGUGAAAGGUACAAGUAGCCUUUUACUCUAGUGUUAGUACCUUAGGAUUGUCAUUAAUUUUGUAAA